This 714-nucleotide ribosomal RNA is filed under the name Triticum aestivum (bread wheat). Its description in RNAcentral is "partial small subunit ribosomal RNA". The record is from RNAcentral. Lineage: Eukaryota; Viridiplantae; Streptophyta; Magnoliopsida; Poales; Poaceae.
AUGGCCGCUGGAUAUAGACAAGGCGAUGGACUUCGCGCCUGCAAGUUGCAAUGGCAUGGAGGGCAGGUAUUGUGUACGUCCUGCAGCACCGGCCAGAGGUCCGGGAGAGGCCGAAAGUCGGAGAGGAGGGUUCUCCAUGACAGAAGUCGGAGAGGAGGGCGGGCUGUGCCGGGCGUUGGGAAGGAAAUAGGAGGUCAAGCUGGUGGUGCGGGGGUUGGGUCUGGUCCGGGAGGAGCGCUGCCGGAGGUAGGGCCGCCUCGCCAUCACGGCCUCCGCUCCGCGCGGCAGCGCAAGACGGCGGCGGCGGCGGCGCCGUACCCGUACGCGAGGAGGAGAGCCCGUGCUUGUGCAGGUGUGUGCGUUUUUCUCUGUUUUGCACUUAAAGUAACGUGGACGCCUCGCCCUCCUCCGGCUCAGCUCGUCGUCGUCCUCCUGUCGCUCGCCGACGAGAUCGCCAUGACGCCGCUCGCUCUCCUCCCAGCUCCUCCUCCUGGCCGACCUCGCGUGUGCUCUGCCCGCCGCUUCACACACCGGGGCCGCCACCUUGCCGACGUCCCAGCGAGCCUCCCGACAGCCGUCGGCGGCAUCUCCACUCUCCCCCGCGCUUGGCUGCCCUCCGCCUCGCCCCGCCUCGCCCCGCCUGGAGCCCGGGCGUUUUCUCAGUUAAAAAGGAGCGCGAGUGGAAUUCUAAUAAAUCUAAGGGUCAAUUUGUAA